RNAcentral lists this ribosomal RNA (293 nucleotides) under uncultured bacterium. Its description in RNAcentral is "partial 16S ribosomal RNA". The record is from RNAcentral.
GGACUACUAGGGUAUCUAAUCCUGUUCGCUCCCCACGCUUUCGCUCCUCAGCGUCAGUACCGGCCCAGAGUGCCGCCUUCGCUACGGGCGUUCCUCCCGAUCUCUGCGCAUUUCACCGCUACACCGGGAAUUCCACACUCCCCUACCGGACUCUAGUCAUGGCAGUACCGGAUGGCGCCUCCACGUUGAGCGUGGAGAUUUCACAUCCGACUUACCAAACCGCCUACGAGCUCUUUACGCCCAAUAAGUCCGGACAACGCUCGCCCCCUACGUAUUACCGCGGCUGCUGGCAC